This 466-nucleotide long non-coding RNA is filed under the name Manihot esculenta (cassava). RNAcentral's name for it is "long non-coding RNA (MESC_LNC007790)". Lineage: Eukaryota; Viridiplantae; Streptophyta; Magnoliopsida; Malpighiales; Euphorbiaceae. The record is from RNAcentral.
CUAAUUCACAAAUUUAAAAUCAUCCGCCCCUAAAUUGUCAAAAAGUCCAAAAGAGAAAGGGUAUUCCAUUUUCAUAGGGAAGGAGAACGGAGAAUCCUUCAUCCUCCCUUAUAACAGAGAUAAAAGACCCAUAUAGCUGCUCUUUUUUUUAUUAAUAAUAUUUAUUUAAUUUUUAUUUUGUAUUGAUGUUGUUGAGAUUAAAUUGGUGACGUAUACGGAAUGAGACUACACAAUAAUUAGUUAGAAUCUGUAAGGAAGAAAAUGUGAGGCGCUGGUGGGUGCUCACAGUAGCCAUUCCGACACUUAAAUCAGUAUUUUGAAUAAUAGAGAGAAUGCAAUGAAUUACUUAAAGUUUGAGUAACAUUAGAGAAUAGUAUAUAUUUAUCUCUGUGAUCUUUCUUUUUUUAUAUUAUAAGAGGGUGGUGAUGAAUAUAAAAUUUUUCGAUAAUCCUGAUACGGAUCCAAU